AAAAUGCAAAUGAAUAUUCAGCACAAGCAUUUCUUUGCAGCACAGAAUAAAAACAAGGGGGAAGUUAAAUAUUUACCAUUUCAACUGUAUUUUUCUUUGCUAUAGAAGGUGGUAUGUAAUAAAUAUUUAUUCUAGAGUUCCUCUUUACCCACAGAAACUUCACCAAAAAUAGAAAGCAAAGACAGACACUGUUGCUUCAGUGAGUCUUGAAUGAAGCUCACGCCACUCAGCUUCCAGGAACACAAGGAGGAUGCUGCUAGGUUCUAACAGCUUCCACAGAUGUCAGGAUUUUUCCCUCAGCCUCAACUCAAGCAGACCACAGCUCCCCCCUUGUAAAAAACAAGCCAGACAAACUCCAGGAAAAAAAAUACCAUGGGCACUUUUUUAACAGAGAAAAAUUUAAUUUAGCAGUACGUCACCAAGUACUCGCAAACUUCUAUAAACUUAUUCUGCUUUUCCCCGUUUUUCAGAAAUAAACACCUCCCUGAGCUGUAUUUAGUUCAGUCUGACUCAGAAGAAAAUACAUACCCUAAUGAGACAAAAUUUUUCUUCUGUUCACUGCUUUUCUUACAAUAUAUUACAUCCAAGUAUUAAUGAGCUUUUACCCAGGCUGUCCUAUAAGCUUCUGUACCGUUGUACCGACACAUAAAACUCUAACAGGUAAGGCUUUAGCUUGAUGGAUGGUGGUGAUUUCACAUACAUGCCAGGAAGUGCAUUUCAGAAACUCUGUGCUACUUUGUUAGUUCUAGAGUUGUGGGUCUUGUGUCCCUGCAGCCACACCACUACAGCUAAAUAUCAUUAACAGAGUCAUCGUGUCAUUGGUUUCAGUGAACUCAGGAGCCCAUUAAAAGUCCUCAUCCACACUUGCCCCCUGUACCAAUGUGUAGGAAACGUUUUAUGACAGUGGGUGCACAAAUUCAGUUCAGGUUUGCAGCAGUCUCCCAAGAUCCCACAAAGUGUUGUCCUCCACAGAGCAGAGGAGACAAGCCACCCUGUUACGGAUUGUGGUGUACAGACACUGUCUAUCCACUUCUAUGGAAGCUAAGGAAGGGGAAAAAACCCCAACAAAACCCAAAAACUCUGACCAGCCACCUCAACAGCUCCUGAGAUAACCCAGCCUAGGUGAGAAGCAGCACAGCAAAGGUUUACGACGAAGAGGGAAGCCACACUUCUUCAGAGGUCAGCCUUGGCUCCACAGGCCCCAAUGCUCUGAACUGAGUAAAGGAUGAGAAAAUGUAAAGGAUAAGAGUGCAGUGGCAAAGAUUAUGCUGAGACCAGGACUCAGAAUGUGAUGGAAAGAAUUCACAACCACACCUAAACUUUUCAGAGCACCACACGCAUAAACUGGCAUUUUUUCUGACAGAAAAUGGAAGGCAUACAAGCUUUGUGCCAGGAUUUGUAAGUGUUCACACUUUAAACUGCAAUUCCAUUCUGAGAAUGAGAAUGCUUUCAGCGAACAGACUGCUUUCUGCCUGUACAGUGCAGGGUUGUGAUUUUAGAUACUUUUAUAUAUAUAUAUACACACACAUAUGUAUGGGUAUUUAUGGAUUUUGUUGUCCCACUGGAGAUACACUCAUGUGGAACCUUGUGAGCAUUCAUUUUACUCAGCAUGGAAAUGCUGGUGUCCAACAGUGUAUUUCUGUCUUUGGCAGGAAGAAUGCAUGCGACCGGAGCAAUGGGACACAGGAAGGUUACGGGAUCUCCAGUGAAAACAACUCCCAGCCCCUCUCCACCAUAUUUUGAGGUUUUUCACUGGUAUUAUGAUGUCUGUACCUGAGCAGGGGAAAGGUUUUUUUCAGAGCACAAAAGUAGUACAGCUGUGAAGAUAUUGCUCAUUCCCUUCUGACAUUCAACUCCUACGACUAAAAAAGUUCAGGUUCCUUCACCAGGUAACAAAAGUUUUAGACACGUCAGCGGCACUCAGCAAACUGAUCAUGAUAUUAACACAGUACAGAGAAGAUCAGAUGGAAACCAUACUGCUGUUUCAUAUGCAGCUGUUCCUUGCUCUACAAACUGAAGAAGGUGGAACUAAAGCCUCUCCGGUUUCACAAUUUAUGCUAUUUUCAUUUUUAACAUGCAAAAACCAAUUAAUUUGUAGUGAACAAUCUUUCUGUUUCUCUAAAUAAAGCAUAAAGACUGUUUAUAUCUCUUUGUCCAUUUGUCAAAACGAUAUGUCAAAACGAUAGUAUGGGG
This is a long non-coding RNA of Calidris pugnax (ruff), 2193 nucleotides long. RefSeq lists it as uncharacterized. The record is from RefSeq and is a predicted model, not a curated record. The transcript is spliced from 3 exons. NCBI's taxonomy places the organism in Eukaryota, Metazoa, Chordata, Aves, Charadriiformes, Scolopacidae.